Molecule: regulatory RNA element, 249 nt
Organism: Cavia porcellus (domestic guinea pig)
Lineage: Eukaryota; Metazoa; Chordata; Mammalia; Rodentia; Caviidae
Rfam family: Mason-Pfizer monkey virus packaging signal
About the family: The packaging signal is located in the 5' UTR and is required for specific RNA encapsidation.
Source: Rfam
UGGUGCCCAACGUGGGACCCGAGAACAGGGGACUUAAUGAAGGAUGCUGUUCAUGGGCCCAAAGUAGAAAAUGGAAAAGAAAAUAGAGGACUGAUGUGGGAGCCUGCCAUGCCGCUGAACCUCGGUAAGUAAAAAGCGAUUAUGGGACAAUAAAUUAACCAGCAUGAGACUUUUGAUAAAAAUUUAGAAAAGCUUUAAAGAUGCAAAGGAUAAAGGAAAAAAAUUUAGCAAUUGUGUCCACUAGGACAA